Molecule: long non-coding RNA, 2182 nt
Organism: Pangasianodon hypophthalmus (striped catfish)
Lineage: Eukaryota; Metazoa; Chordata; Actinopteri; Siluriformes; Pangasiidae
Exons: 5
Source: RefSeq, a predicted model, not a curated record
AACAGCUCAGUUAAUCAGAUACUGCAGAACAUCUCUACAAGACACAAAAACUACAACAUUCAGUAGAAUGUUUACCUCUUUCACAUUUCAGUUAUCGUUUUGACUGAAGUCACCAUUUUGAUCAGAACUGCUGAGGGAUUUUAGGGAUCAGUGAUGGAGCAACAUCAUGUGAUCAUACUCCUGUUUGUCAUAGUGACAAGGACAGCUACAUUUACUUCUCUGAGAUGAUGACUUGGCUUGUAGCUCAGAGUUACUGUCGACAGUAUCAUGCAGACCUGGCUAGCACAAGAGAUGCAACAGAAAUCUCAGAAAUACAGGGACUAAUCUCUGGCUGGACAUGGAUUGGUCUGUUCAGAGACACCUGGAAGUGGUCUGACCAAACCAACUUCCCUGCCAUCAGCUGGAUGUCUGGAAAACUUGAUAAUGCACUGGGGUAUGAAAAUUGUGGUUAUUUAAAUAACAAUCAGGCUGCUGAUGCACUGUGCUCAGACAUACUGCUUUUCUUCUGUUACUCAGUAAUCACAGGAAAACAACAAAUCGUAAGGGUGAAGGUCCGGGCCAAUCAGGAUGUGAAUAAAUUUGCAGUAAAGGCGGCCAUCUUGGAGCAGAUCAAACAGGAACUGAAGGAUCAUGGGAUGGCAGAAAAUAUCACAGUGAAAUGGAGAAAGCAACCAGAUGGAAUGGUGUUUCACAAGUAGAAAGAAAAUAAUACUACAGUAGCAAAAGAAGAGCAACAUAUCAAAUCAUGAUCACACAUCAAGUGCAUGAUCCACUUUUAGUGUGAGUAGUUUAUUGAGAUGUAGUUCACUAUUAAAAGGAUGGUGAAAGGAGAAAAAAAUUUACCCAAACUUUCUCUUUUGGUUAAUUUCUAUGGUCAUAUUUGUAUUUUUCAUUUAGUUGUAUUUGUAUUUUUCUACAACAAAUGUAGUCAAUAGUCAAUGUAGCUGUAGUCGAUCUAGUUUUUACUUCUGUAGUUUUAUGGAUAUGAGAUAUAUGAACUAUGUGAUAUAUACGAAUAAGUGGAUAAUGUGCCCCUGAUAUUUCCCCCUGCUGAGUCUCCAUCAUCUGCUGGAGUUCACUGUGCUUCUUGUUUGACUUGUUGAAUCAUCUUUUUCUGCAACAUAUUUAAUUGUAGACCAUGUAUUUAGUAGCUAAAUACACAAAACUAUUAAUACCUUUAGAUUAUAAGCAAAAUAUAGCAUUUAAAUAAAGAACAAGCUAACAAGAAAGAGAACUUUUGUGUCCUAUAUUUUAUUAAGAAUUUUUCAACCUCAUGAUUAACUAACCUGAAUGAUAAAGAAGCUGCUUGCUUAUCUUUAGGAAGGAUAGACACAGUGCCUAUAAUUUCACAUGAAUUAAUGUUAAUUGUUCAUUGGUCCAAACUGGGGUCAGAGCUGUAUUUAUAAUGCUGCUCAGAGUAGAAUUUUAGACUUAAGUGGUAAAAAAAUUCUUAGAAAUUAGAAUUUUCCAGAGCUGUUUUGUAAACAUGAUUUAAAAUUCAGCACUGGCAGCACUUCUCUUUAGCACUUCUCUUAUUUAAAGUUGACUUAUUUUAUCUAAAGUUGACUCUUUUUUUUAGCUGCCUUGCCACUGUACUUGCCCCCAACAGGAAGCUCAAUGCAUCCAGCUGCAGCAAAUUCCUUGGUAGUCCUUCAAAUUACACUGGAGGGAGCGUGGUUGAGUGGUGGCUGUGGACGGAGAGAGCAGGGUUGGUUGAAGCGGGUAAUGUGUGUUUGUUCUCACCUGUGUGUUAUUACCGACAGCCUACUUAUAUGCCUGUUUUCCUUUCAGUAGAUGCUGUGAGCCAGAGAGAGAUGGAGCUGAUGAAGCUGACACAAUACACCCACCUCAAACCUGAACUUAAAUUUGAAGUUGAAUGUAACAAGCUAGCUAAAUGUUUUGGUUUCUUUUGAUUUUAUUUGUAUUCAGUUAAAGAGGCACUGCUGAAAAGUGCUUGCACGAGAAAAAAUAAGGAAAAUAAAAAUAAAAGAAGAACAAAGAUCUGUAAAAGUUCCAUCAGCUGUCGUGUACAGAUGGAGUUGCCGGCUACAUAAAACCCCAUUUAAAUGUGGCAAAUCAAUUAAAUUCAAUUCAAUUUUAUUCGUAUAGCGCUUUUAACAAUGGACAUUGUCACAAAGCAGCUUUACAGAAAUAUAUAAAUUCAGGAUGUAAAUUUUAAAUU